UCUUGGUUAGCUCAGUUGGCAGAGCUCUCCGCUGGAAAUGGAGAUCCCUGGUUCAAUACCAAGACCAGGCG
This is a non-coding RNA of Ixodes scapularis (black-legged tick), 71 nucleotides long. The record is from Rfam. Lineage: Eukaryota; Metazoa; Arthropoda; Arachnida; Ixodida; Ixodidae.